Molecule: transfer RNA, 74 nt
Filed under: Mongoliitalea lutea
Lineage: Bacteria; Pseudomonadati; Bacteroidota; Cytophagia; Cytophagales; Cyclobacteriaceae
Also listed under: 2 other names
Description: tRNA-Lys
Rfam family: tRNA
About the family: Transfer RNA (tRNA) molecules are approximately 80 nucleotides in length.
Source: RNAcentral
GAUUCCGUAGCUCAGCUGGUAGAGCAUAACACUUUUAAUGUUAGGGUCCUGGGUUCGAGCCCCAGCGGGAUCAC